AAUACUUCUUACUAAGUAAUGCCCAAAUGACAGACAGAAAGAGAGGGAGAGACUUUUUCUGUUACAAAUACCACCAGAAUGAUGCUGGUAUCCCAUCCUGAAUGCCUCGACAGAGGUUUACUACAGUGUUUUUGGAUGAGGAACACAGGCAGAAUUUCGCUCCCUUUUUUCUCUACUACUCUACUUGUCCUGGAGGAACAUAACACUCUGACAGGAGAAAUUCCCCACCUUUGUGGACCAGUGUUACACUGUUAACUCAGUACUUUUUCCCUAGACCAGCAGUCACAAUCUUUUCACUGCUCAUACUUUAAGGCAUCUGCUAAGAAAAUGCAGGGGGCUGACUGUCCUGUGGAUUGUAGCCAGCAAACAAGUGCUGACUAUACAAGAGGGGAUAUACGUUCAAAACAAACUCUGUAUGUUUUAUGAUGAUAUUUUAUAACUUCAUUGAAAUCAUCUUAUGAGGGACAAAACUGGGCAGCUGAAGAUGUCAAACUGGGAGGAGUGGUUGGUACAGCAGUGGGUGGUGCUGGCCUCCACAGGGACCUCACAGGCUGGAGAAAUGGCCUGACAGGAGCUCCAUGGAUUGCAACAAGGAGAGGUGCAAAAUUCUGCACCUGGGAAGGAACAACCCCUUGCACCAAUGCAUGCUUGGGGCCACCCAGCAUAUCCUGCAGCUUUUCAGAAAAGGAUUGGGAGGUCCUGGUGGAAACCAAGCUGAGCACAGGCCACCAGUGUGGUUCCUUGCUGCAAAGAAGGCCAAGGUAACCCCGGCCUCAUGAGGCAGCGCUGCCAGCAAGCUGAGGGAGAUGAUUCUUCCCUUCAGCACUGCUGUGGCCACACCCAGAGUAAAACGUCCAGGUCAGGAUUCUCAGUACAGGUGGAUAAAGAAUUACUGGAGAGAGUCUAUGGCCAUACUGGAGAGAGUCUUCAAAUGGUCAGGAAGAUGAUUAAGGGAUUGGAGCAUCUCUGUUCUGAGGAAAGGUGGGAGAGCUGGGACUGUUUAGCCUGGAGAAAACACACCUUGAGUGGAAUCUCAUCAAAUGUGGAUAAAUACCCAAAGGGAGAGUGCAAAGAGGACAGAGCCAGGCUCUCUUCAGAGGUGCCCAGUGAUGGGACAAGAAGCAAUGGGCACAAUACCAGUGGCACAACACACGAAACUUCAGCAGUGCCGUCUGAACAUAGAAAACUCUUUAACUGUUGAGGGUGACUGGGCACUGAAAAGGGAUUUCCUAGGCAGAUUGUGGAGUUUCCACUCCUGGAGAUAUUAAAAAACUGUCUGGACAUGGUCCUUGAUGACUGCUGCAGGUGUUUGAGCAGAGAGUUUGAAGCAGAUGAUGCCCAGAUAUUGCUUCAAACCUCAACCUGUGAGUUCUGUAAUGUAUGGCUACCACAUCUCACUGGACUGCUGUGAUCACUGGGAUGGUUAUGAUAUGAUAGUUUAAAUUUCUGUUAUUAACAAAUGUUGAUCUUUGCAUAUAAGUAAAUGCUCUUAUUGUUUUGGAGAGAUGAUUUACUAAAUAAUUAGUACAACUCUAGGUCCUAAUAAAAUUGAGAACAAAUAUGCAUGGAAUAUGGUACAAGUUCACUUAUGUUUUUCCCUGCUAUUCCAUCAAGACUUCAAACAGACCCCAGAUUUGGUCCAUGUGAAUGCCUGUCUUCUGGAGUCAGUGAUGCAACAUCUAGUUAUUAUUGAUAAUUACAGCAAUCAUGGAGGACGUGAGUGUGUUAUCUAUCACAAAGAAAGGGCCCCCAGAUGCCCUGUGCAUUCUCAGUGAUAGUUCCAUGUCAGCAUUUCAAUGAUGAGCGAGGAUGAAUUUGGUUUACAGCAUCUGUCAGUACAUAUCUCGUAUUCUGGUGAGAAAUUAAUAAAAACGACCAUUCUUUGUGGAAUGGAAGGUUGGGAGAUUAUGCAAUGGUCUCUCCCACCAAGUGUGGAAACUUUUUAGUGUUGCAGAGGGUACUAAUGUGGGUUAUUUCAAGUUUAGGUGCACUCUUCCUCCCAUGCAGGUGUCUCAUGGUCUCUGCUGAGGAAGGCAGAGCUCAAUCCAAGGGACCUCUCAUCUUGUAAUCAGAGUCUUAAAUAGAAACAUGUGUGGUAGUGGGCCUGGCUAGGCCAGGGUUAUAGCCAACAAGGUAAAGAAACAAGAAUGAGAAAUGUGCUGGAAAUAAAACCUUUUUUCCUCCUAUAACUCUGAAAGUUAACAGCUACUCUAUUUGCAGUACUUCCCUGCAGACCAUAUGCAUAACUUGUUUUAUCAAUUGGCUCAUAAAGAAGCAAAAGAUGGUUUAGAUUUGCAGGAAUUACUGGAUAUUCUCUGCAGUAAUUCCUGAUUUUAAGCAUGUUAGUUUCUGCUCUGCAGAUCUUCAUGUUUUUAUGGCAGAUGAUGUGCAGGCAGAUGUGCCAGUUAUGGAGGCUCAGUGUGAAUUUAUCUGCCAGUGAAGGGCAGUGUGCAUCCCCUACUCACACUCACUUGCACCCAUGGGCAAGAACUGUAAUAAAAGAGUGAACUGACAAGAUCAGAGGAGAAAAUAAUAAUGAAAGACUUUUCAAUGGAUAAUGAGAUUGUAUCAACUGAUACCAGUUCACGACAUCAUCCUUAGGGUGCAGGAUUUGGUGCUGAUAAUUGCAGCAUGAAAGCAACUUUUAAUACACAUUAAAUUUUUAGUUUUACUUCUCUGCAUAACAAUCUUAUUUUGGUUUAACGAUAAAAUGAGUAUCCAAAGGAGCUGUUCACUUACAGAUUCACUGAACCCACAAGUCUAUUUAAGAACGUGCAUCUUUACAGGCAAAAGAGGAAAAGAGCCAAAUGUUUAGCAGAUUUAUGAGGUAAUUCUUUAUCAAGUUACAAACAAAACUGCAGGAAUGUGUAGGGAUCUAUGCAGAGGCUGUGGCAGUAUCCUGAUUGCACUUCAUCAUCUACCACUGUCUCAUCUUUGCUUCCCACUGCAGUAAUCCCCAGGACGCCCAUCCUUGUCUCAAUACCUCUUCAAAAUGCUAAUAGAGCCUGGCUUUCAGGAAUUCUGCUACAUUAUGGACACUGUUGAAAACAUAGGUUUGUGCUGAGACCUGUACCACUCACUGAGCUGUCCUGACCCAGCCCUCUGAACAGACUCUUUUAAAUGGAAAUACUGUGAUGCCUGCUACUUUUUGAGGGGAUGGUCUUUCAGUCAUGGACACUGAAUUAAUUUGACAACUAUUUUCUUCCUGCCAAAAGAAUACAAAAAGCCCUGGGAGCCUGUAACUGCCAGAAGAACCUGCAGAAAUCUGGCUAACACUUCAUGAGAAGAUUGUUGCCUAGCUGGAGAAGGCUGAGUCUGACAAGUGCCCUCUGCAUGUCCUGGCUCAGUUAGAACCACCCUGGAGGCAUCUCAGUGCUCCACGUGGCUGAAGGUCAUCACCAGAGCAGCUUGGCUAGUCCUUGGGCUUGGCACCUUGUGAGAACUUUGAGUGUGGUGCUCUGCUUUGAAUGGACGUGUGAGUCUGUCCAGCCUUCCUUGGGAAGUCCUUGUCAGGGUUUACCCUGUGCCAGCCUCAGAGAAGAAAAGCUGCCCUUGAACAGGGCUUAGACCACUGUAGGAAAAUAUAACUUAGGUUACUCAGGGAUUUAUCAUGAGGGUGGAUGGGCAUGUGAGGACUAUAGGAGAAAUGGAAAUGAAAAAUGCAAGUGAAACAGUGAGAUCUUUAAGCUGUACAACACGUCAUUUUCACAGUUUGUCACUGUCAGGUGACCACGGACUUGUAAGAAGCUUAGAAUUGAAAACCUUAAUGUAUUCUUUAUGGGAACAAAAGCUUCUGAAUUAUGCAGCAGCCUAAAAUGUUCCUACUACAGGUGACUCAGAUUCUAGAUGCAUUAUUUAAAGAGUCCUAUGAUAUCAGUCUGCUGCUAUGGAACUGCAAUCUAUACCUCCCUUUUUCACUGGUGUGUCUUUACAAAUCCUAAAUCUAAUUGCAUAAUUGAAAACAGUCCUACAGAGAGACUUCUGCAGUUUGCAUUCAUCUUCAUCCACCUUUGCAGCUGCCUCCAGCUGUGUUUUCAGUAUACAGUAGAACUGAUGCUGACUCCUUUCUGAUUUUGGAGAAUGAAGGCUGGAACCAUAUAUGCAUUUCUAGUCUAUGAAAAGGCAUUUCAAGAACACCUAAACUCUGCUGAGAGAUUGUCUGGAAGGUGUGGAGCAGCAUCAGAACAGCAGUUUAAGAUGCUCAGGCGGUCUGUGAAAAGGAAGGAAGAGGUAGAAACAGAACCUUGCAAGUUUGAAAUAUAUGCCAAGACAGAGCCCUGUGCCUUGUCUCAGGUCAGGGUUUUAAUGAUUAUGUGAUACAGGUGCAGCAAAAAAAGCUUAAAUUAUGGCUUAUCUUCAGGAUUCAAUCAGUAAGCCACUGAACAGAAGCUAUACCUCUCAUAUCACUUGAACAACUUCUGCACCUCUGGAAGGUCACAGAAAUGCCUGGAAGGAACCUCAAAGAUCAUCUAGUACAGAUGUGUAUUUCUUUUUGUUGUUGUUGUAGUGUUGCUUAAAUA
Molecule: long non-coding RNA, 4520 nt
Organism: Passer domesticus (house sparrow)
Lineage: Eukaryota; Metazoa; Chordata; Aves; Passeriformes; Passeridae
Exons: 4
Source: RefSeq, a predicted model, not a curated record